AUCAAGUUAUGUCAAAAUUAAGUUUCUUUGCUUUCUGCCAUGUGCUGGUCUAUGGUCAGCUUUAGACAGGCUAAUUUGAGGCGAAUGUCACUAUGAUUGAAUGAAAAGUUGUGGUAAUAUUCUCCUAGAAAUCAAGCAACAUUCAGAUCUGCAGUCAUCCAAGAAGGCCUUUGAAUCUGGCAUAUUCAUCAGCAAAGGUCAAAUUUACAACUUAGAGCUGGUCUACCUGAUUCAACCCUGGGUUACACUGCAAGGAGUUUCUUUCUCUGAAGAUGGAGUAAUCAACAAUAUUCUGCAAAAGUCUACAGUAUUUCUGGCAAGGUGUUGCUUAGUGGAUGAAAUGAAUUUCUGCAACUCAGCCCCUAUCCAAUGAAGCCCUCCAGGACACACUGAAGUGCAGGAGGAAUCUGACCCAGCAUCUGUGGUAAGCAGGACUGAUGGACUGAGCACCUGAGCAGGUGCUACUGCUGCCAAGCACACAGCUCAG
Molecule: long non-coding RNA, 487 nt
Filed under: Zonotrichia albicollis (white-throated sparrow)
Lineage: Eukaryota; Metazoa; Chordata; Aves; Passeriformes; Passerellidae
Description: lncRNA (ENSZALG00000014599.1)
Source: RNAcentral